AGAACGAACGCUGGCGGCAUGCCUAACACAUGCAAGUCGAACGCUUUUGGGGCUUCGGUCCCAAAGGAGUGGCGCACGGGUGAGUAGCGCGUGGGAACCUGCCCUGUUGUGGGGGAUAACCGAGGGAAACUUCGGCUAAUACCGCAUACGCCCGGGGGAAACUCCGGGGAAAGAUUUAUCGCAGCAGGAGGGGCCCGCGUCGGAUUAGGUAGUUGGUGGGGUAACGGCCCACCAAGCCUGUGAUCCGUAGCUGGUCUGAGAGGAUGAUCAGCCACACUGGGACUGAGACACGGCCCAGACUCCUACGGGAGGCAGCAGUGGGGAAUAUUGGACAAUGGGCGCAAGCCUGAUCCAGCAAUGCCGCGUGAGUGAUGAAGGCCUUCGGGUUGUAAAGCUCUUUCGCACGCGACGAUGAUGACGGUAGCGUGAGAAGAAGCCCCGGCUAACUUCGCGCCACGAGCCGC
RNAcentral lists this ribosomal RNA (464 nucleotides) under uncultured bacterium. RNAcentral describes it as "SSU rRNA". It matches the Rfam family "Bacterial small subunit ribosomal RNA", at positions 26 to 518 of the family's 1533-position model. The record is from RNAcentral.